This 1369-nucleotide ribosomal RNA is filed under the name uncultured bacterium. Its description in RNAcentral is "bacterial SSU rRNA". It matches the Rfam family "Bacterial small subunit ribosomal RNA", at positions 28 to 1381 of the family's 1533-position model. The record is from RNAcentral.
GACGAACGCUGGCGGCGUGCCUAAUACAUGCAAGUAGAACGCUGAAGAGAGGAGCUUGCUCUUCCUGGAUGAGUUGCGAACGGGUGAGUAACGCGUAGGUAACCUGCCUUGUAGCGGGGGAUAACUAUUGGAAACGAUAGCUAAUACCGCAUAACAAUGGAUGACACAUGUCAUUUAUUUGAAAGGGGCAAUUGCUCCACUACAAGAUGGACCUGCGUUGUAUUAGCUAGUAGGUGAGGUAAUGGCUCACCUAGGCGACGAUACAUAGCCGACCUGAGAGGGUGAUCGGCCACACUGGGACUGAGACACGGCCCAGACUCCUACGGGAGGCAGCAGUAGGGAAUCUUCGGCAAUGGGGGCAACCCUGACCGAACAACGCCGCGUGAGUGAAGAAGGUUUUCGGAUCGUAAAGCUCUGUUGUAAGUCAAGAACGGGUGUGAGAGUGGAAAGUUCACACUGUGACGGUAGCUUACCAGAAAGGGACGGCUAACUACGUGCCAGCAGCCGCGGUAAUACGUAGGUCCCGAGCGUUGUCCGGAUUUAUUGGGCGUAAAGCGAGCGCAGGCGGUUUGAUAAGUCUGAAGUUAAAGGCUGUGGCUCAACCAUAGUUCGCUUUGGAAACUGUCAAACUUGAGUGCAGAAGGGGAGAGUGGAAUUCCAUGUGUAGCGGUGAAAUGCGUAGAUAUAUGGAGGAACACCGGUGGCGAAAGCGGCUCUCUGGUCUGUAACUGACGCUGAGGCUCGAAAGCGUGGGGAGUGAACAGGAUUAGAUACCCUGGUAGUCCACGCCGUAAACGAUGAGUGCUAGGUGUUGGAUCCUUUCCGGGAUUCAGUGCCGCAGCUAACGCAUUAAGCACUCCGCCUGGGGAGUACGACCGCAAGGUUGAAACUCAAAGGAAUUGACGGGGGCCCGCACAAGCGGUGGAGCAUGUGGUUUAAUUCGAAGCAACGCGAAGAACCUUACCAGGUCUUGACAUCCCGAUGCUAUUUCUAGAGAUAGAAAGUUACUUCGGUACAUCGGUGACAGGUGGUGCAUGGUUGUCGUCAGCUCGUGUCGCGAGAUGUUGGGUUAAGUCCCGCAACGAGCGCAACCCCUAUUGUUAGUUGCCAUCAUUCAGUUGGGCACUCUAGCGAGACUGCCGGUAAUAAACCGGAGGAAGGUGGGGAUGACGUCAAAUCAUCAUGCCCCUUAUGACCUGGGCUACACACGUGCUACAAUGGUUGGUACAACGAGUUGCGAGUCGGUGACGGCGAGCUAAUCUCUUAAAGCCAAUCUCAGUUCGGAUUGUAGGCUGCAACUCGCCUACAUGAAGUCGGAAUCGCUAGUAAUCGCGGAUCAGCACGCCGCGGUGAAUACGUUCCCGGGCCU